CGCGCGUGUGAGUCUGCAUCACAUGACACAACCAGAGACGUCCACUUCAGCCCGUCCCAUAGAACCCAAGUUCUGUUCCCAGCAACCAUGUUGGGCAAUUUACAACCAUCUGUGACAAAGUUUCACUAAUCCAUCUAAACAGCAAAAGAACAACACUGAGUAAGACAAUGAAUGGAGGGGGACUUCCAGGAGCAGGGAGGACUCGGAGGCAGCUGCGUCCCUGAAGCCCACCCCAGCGUAAGAGACAUCUGGAAUUCUGGAGCUCUUCUCUAUACGACUUGCAGGGAGAUCAGACAGGCCUUUGUGGGGCAGUGGACCCUGCCGGAAAACUUGGUAAGGUCAAGUAGAUCCAGAGACCCUGGUCCCUCAAACCUACUCCCGACCAUGUUUCUGUCCUGGAACACAUGACCAUGACACCUCGUGGAGAGGACUGUGACAAUCAGUCACAUAGGGGCAGCCCCUGAAGUCCCUCUACAUGCAGAUGAGGCAUCCCUAACAUCUCAGACCCCCGACCUUGGCUCCUACCCACCACACAGCACCAACUCCGGAGCAGCAGUGACUGCUGAAGAGACCUGGCUGCUCGCCUGGAUCCGACUCCUCCUCCUGGCCCUCCAUGUCAUAGAAGGUUGACUGCCUCACCCCUUUGGAAAGCACAACUCUUUGGCCAUUCUGGCUGGGCCAGAGCCCCGCAGAUCUCCACAGAUAGUGUCUGGUACACAGACCAGCAGGCCAUAGACCUUUACUGAGAGAGGAAGAAACUGAAGUAGAGGCCAUGGAUCAAUGCUGCUCACUGGCUUGCUCCCCCUGGCUUUCUCAGCCAUCUUUGUUUCUUAUAUAACUCAGGUCCACCUAUCUUGUCACUGUGACUCUGGUAAACAGCCCUUCAUUCAUUUACUCCAUCCGACGGCAGGCAGGCGCUGCGUUGGGUCCUGAAGAGACUCGUCCUGCGAGCGUGGAAGAUGAGAAGACCUAAGUGGAAGAAUGUCUUGUGCUUGGGGAAGGAAAAAAAGACUCGACAGCGUGGAAGUAAUUCAAUGAGUAAAAUCUCAUACUUCAACGAGUA
Long non-coding RNA from Mus musculus (house mouse), 1063 nucleotides. RefSeq annotates it as predicted gene, 54313. The record is from RefSeq and is a predicted model, not a curated record. Lineage: Eukaryota; Metazoa; Chordata; Mammalia; Rodentia; Muridae. The transcript has 3 exons.